This 68-nucleotide transfer RNA is filed under the name Ictidomys tridecemlineatus (thirteen-lined ground squirrel). RNAcentral describes it as "Spermophilus tridecemlineatus (thirteen-lined ground squirrel) tRNA". It matches the Rfam family "tRNA". Rfam says of the family: Transfer RNA (tRNA) molecules are approximately 80 nucleotides in length. Their secondary structure includes four short double-helical elements and three loops (D, anti-codon, and T loops). Lineage: Eukaryota; Metazoa; Chordata; Mammalia; Rodentia; Sciuridae. The record is from Rfam by way of RNAcentral.
GGGGACAUAGCUCAGUUGGUAGAGUGCUUGCCUUGCAUGCAAGGUCCUGGGUUCAGUUCCCAGCACCA